RNAcentral lists this ribosomal RNA (229 nucleotides) under uncultured bacterium. Its description in RNAcentral is "partial 16S ribosomal RNA". It matches the Rfam family "Bacterial small subunit ribosomal RNA", at positions 8 to 220 of the family's 1533-position model. The record is from RNAcentral.
AGAGUUUGAUCAUGGCUCAGGACGAACGCUGGCGGCGUGCUUAACACAUGCAAGUCGAACGAGAAUCUGCGGAAAGAGGAUUCGUCCAAUUGAAGCAGAGGACAGUGGCGGACGGGUGAGUAACGCGUGAGAAACCUGCCUUUCAGAGGGGGACAACAGUUGGAAACUACUGCUAAUACCGCAUGACACAUCGGAGUCGCAUGGCUCUGAUGUCAAAGAUUUAUCGCUG